AAUAGUGUGUGAGAUGUGAAGGGGUACAGAAAGGAAGAGUAACAUCACUGUUAUAAGGUGAUGGAUGAGAAGUCCGAUAAAAGAUUUUUUUCCCCUGUUUAUUUAAUAUGUUUCUCUUGUUGCUUCUUGUCCAUCCCCAUACAAUGGAUAAGAA
RNAcentral lists this non-coding RNA (154 nucleotides) under Palpitomonas bilix. The record is from RNAcentral.